This 496-nucleotide ribosomal RNA is filed under the name uncultured bacterium. RNAcentral's name for it is "partial 16S ribosomal RNA". It matches the Rfam family "Bacterial small subunit ribosomal RNA", at positions 30 to 523 of the family's 1533-position model. The record is from RNAcentral.
AUUGAACGCUGGCGGAACGCUUUACACAUGCAAGUCGAACGGUAGAGGGGGCAACCCCUCGAGAGUGGCGAACGGGUGAGUAAUAUAUCGGAACGUGCCCAGUCGUGGGGGAUAACGUAGCGAAAGUUACGCUAAUACCGCAUACGAUCUACGGAUGAAAGCGGGGGAUCGCAAGACCUCGCGCGAUUGGAGCGGCCGAUAUCAGAUUAGGUAGUUGGUGGGGUAAAGGCCCACCAAGCCAACGAUCUGUAGCUGGUCUGAGAGGACGACCAGCCACACUGGAACUGAGACACGGUCCAGACUCCUACGGGAGGCAGCAGUGGGGAAUUUUGGACAAUGGACGCAAGUCUGAUCCAGCCAUUCCGCGUGCAGGAUGAAGGCCCUCGGGUUGUAAACUGCUUUUGUACGGAACGAAAAGCCUGGGGCUAAUAUCCCCGGGUCAUGACGGUACCGUAAGAAUAAGCACCGGCUAACUACGUGCCAGCCGCCGCCGUAA